Molecule: long non-coding RNA, 21290 nt
Organism: Mus musculus (house mouse)
Lineage: Eukaryota; Metazoa; Chordata; Mammalia; Rodentia; Muridae
Product: predicted gene, 40406
Exons: 2
Source: RefSeq, a predicted model, not a curated record
GUGCUGUCCCUUAGGCGCGGGUGAUCUGUCUUCCUUCUUCUGUGCCCGAGGUGCAGCUGGCAGCCGCUCAAACCUUUGAAGCUGGUCGGCUGGGAGACCACCUUGGUGCCAGGGAAAAAGCCGCGGGCGGGACCCAGAGAUAUGGGUUGGGCAGACGGAGGUUGCCAGGCUGAAGCUGUUUUGGGGUGGGAGCAGAAAAUGUGAAGAGCUGCCUUCCCGGCCUCUGAGAAAGCUCCUUUGCUGUCUUCCGGUUUGGAAUUCUGUGCUUUGCACUUGCCGCCAAGUGGGUGUGGGUCAGGUCUGGGUUGCACACGUGUGACUGUAAAGCUGUGAUUAGCCGCUAUUUCCUGACUUGUAGCCCUCGCUCUCCCCGGUUUGCUGAAUUUGGCUCUGGGAAGGUGUUUUAUGUAGUUUGGGACCGGUUUCCAAGUUGGAGACUAGUCACGUCACGGCUCUCUAAUACUUAUUUGCUGGUUGCAGGUUGUAGUCCUCUUCAAAAGGAAAGGAUGUGUGUGUCUCAGGUAUCAUUUGGCCCUGUAGCCUGGGAGAUGUUACAUUCUAAGAGAAAGAGAAAAGAGAAUUAAAUUCACUCCAGCCCUCACAGAAUAUUUAAAAUAGGGUUUUAAAAUUCAUCACAGCUACUUUGUAUCAACCUGACUUUGCUGCUUUCUUCAGUUCCACUGUAGAGACCAAAAGUCAAACUUUCAUCAUAGACUACCUUUUCUUUUGGUCGCGCUCCACUCCCCACCCAUUUUGUUUAAGUGUUAAUUUUGGGGGUUAAUUUGGGUUCUCAGUCCUUGUUGAUGUUUUUUCCAUUUAACCUUCACAGCUUUUUAUCUCAGUAGCAGGGAAAUAAAAGUGCAAUUUCUUCCCACUUUCCAUGAGUGAGAUUCCUAUCAAUGGGUUUGCCAUAUAUCCCGUACUUAUGUUUUUCCAGAUCACCAAAAUUCCACAUUUUAAGAUAUAAAGUUGGAAGCUUUAAUAAUUUGGCGGGGGGGGGGGGCGUUGUUUAUGGUUUUUGUUUUUGUGGGGGUUUUGGUUGGUUGGUUGGUUAGUUUUGGUUUUUAGAGACAGAGUUUCUCUGUGUAGCUCUGGCUGACCUGAAACUCACUCUAAACCAGGCUGGCCUCGAACUCAGAAACCCGCCUGCCUCUGCCUCCCAAAUGCUAGGAUUAAAGGCGUGCGCCGCCACUGCCCGGCUUCUUCUCCUCACUGAUAACUUUUUCUCACGGGUUAAUUUAUUUGAAAACUUGAAAAUACCUCUAAAGCAUAAAUAAUUACCUUACACUUAGAAUUCAUUACAAAUAUUUCAAGCACUUCAUUCAGAGGUCUGUAGAUUAAAAAAAUAAUAAUAAUAGUAACAUCCACUACACAGUUCCACUUAUAAAGACAAAAGUGAUGCAUAUUUUAUAACAUAGUCCUUUAUAAUAUGCAUUGUAUACCCCAUUUUAAAAUAAGAGGGAUGAUUCUAGUAAACUCAAAGAUCUACAGCUUUCUUCUUCCUAUUGUUUAUCAAAGAUACUUCUAUAUCAAUUUUUUUGUUACAUUUGUUAGUGAAUACACUCAUGUUCCAUAGGAAAGAUAUUCCAUACUCUAGCCAGUCCCCUGUUAGUAAAUGUAUAAAGUAGCUCUGAUUUUCAAUAGCAUUACAGAGAGUGGAUUUAUAUAUAUGUAUAAUAUAUUUGUCAUAUAUUAUAUACAUAAUAUAGAUGGAUAGAUAGAUGUUUGCCCAGUAGAGUAUUAAGUUUGUGUGAGUUUUCCAUGAAUGCCAGUUUUCCCUGUUAAAAGUACUCAUGAAUAUUUCCCAAUAAUAAUCAAGUGUCCUUUACCCACUUAGUAUUUUCAAAAAGUAUAAGGAAAUUAUUAAUCAAGGACCAGUGUUGAAAUAUGGUAAGCCUGAAUUGGGUGACUAAUGAAAACUUAAUUUUAGGCUCCAAAUUAUCUUCCACAAAACCAUUGAGCAGCAGUGAAUUUUCAGUGGUUGUCACAAAAACAAACCCUCUCCUUACUUCAGAACUGCCCAGUAUUAUCAUUGAUUUAGACCAGUGACUGGGGGAGCUUCAUGACUGAUUCUUAUGUCAUUAAAAUUCUCCUUUAAUAAUGGAUCACUCUAUGACUUUAUCAGAAUUCUUUUCAAAUCCUGCAAAAUGGGACACAUAGUAUAGGUGGGAAUAAUUGCAUUAGGAGUAAUUUCUUCUUAAGUUAUCCAGGAUGUCUUUCUCUGUAAAAUCACAGACCUCUUUAAUUUCUGGAAAACUGCUGCUUUUCAGAGGUUUCUUCCAAUUCUAAUUAAAAUGUCAGUCUGUGUGUUUAAUAUCCUGAGACAAAAGGGCCUGAGGAGCCAUUUAACAGAAAUCCUAGCAGUUCUAUAAAAUCUCUGCUACAAGGAGUCACUAGGUGGAGUGCAGGCAUAUACAGCUCCCUCGCUGAGACCUCUGCGCUUCCAGGGGUUUCUUUAGUCCGUUCCUCCCCAAGUCCCUAUACUGGUUGGUUCACCUCAAAAUUAUGUUUUGAGAAAAAUCAAAAAGUCUAUUUUGUUGUCAGUACAGAUAAAGAAAGAGAUGACACCAAGUGUGCACCUAUCUUCCUUGCGUGUUCUCCAGUACACAAGAACCCUGGGGUGCUUAAAAGCCAAGCCUGGCCCCUUGUGCCUGAAACCCUAGCUUUGUGAGCUGGGAACAGAAGGAUCCCAGCUGCUCUUUACUCACCUCUAUGGCAGAAGCAGUGAGCUUCAGGUUCAGUGACAGCCUGAGGCGAAUAGGAUGGAGCAUGAAAGAGGGGAAAACCAGAUGCCCUCCUCUGGCCUUCCCAUUCGGGUAUGCAAGUGUGCAACACACACACACACACACCAGAGCACUAUAUGUUGCUAUUUAUUCUAAUCUAGGUUUUAAUGAGAAAUGAGUCUGUAGUUCAGUGAUUGACACUUACAGGAGGAUUUUGUGACUAGGGUGAUUUCUGAAGAUGAUGUUUGCCUAUAUUGUAAGACUCUGGCGGUCAACUUGGGUGUCUUCUCCAAAUGAAUACAUAGGAGAUCACAAUGGUGGUGUUUGAACUUGGGGUGCUGGUCCUGCAGAGACCUUAUGAAUUUCAUUGUUAGGUUUGUGGAAGGAGUUGUGAAGAGUAGCAAGUGAAAAUCCUUGCUCUUGUAUUCCAUAUUCCGAUAAAUGCUAGAAACCUAGGGAGCAUCGUUGAGUCCCUUCUUGCCCACGGGCCCUGAAUUUGAUCAGUUACCAAGUCUUCCUCUGUUCCAAAGCAAUGGAAUCUGCCCUCAGUUCCCCUCUGUACACUAUUCCCAUUCUGUUUCUAACCCUGGGCAUCACGCCUCAUCCCCUAGCUCUGUCUUGCACCUCCCAGUCUGUGCUCCAAAAAAAAAGCCAAGACCUUGUUGGACUUGUUUGGUCUGCCUGAUCCUGGCACAGUGUUAAUAUAUAAUAGAUGCUUGAGCUAAACAGUAGUCUAGCCUUCCCAGUCGGAAAACCUUCUUUUGACCUCCUUGACACUUAACUUUACCCCUUUUAAUCUUUUGAAGACAAAUCUAUUUGGGGGUCUGCACUGGGAAUCUUCACUACAACUGGGCUACAUGCCUAAGUAGGUCCUAACUUCUUUAGGUAAUAGUUAUUCUGCUUUUCAGCCUCAUCUUUUUUUUAGCCCUCUUCCGUGUUCAUAUCUUCAUUAUCUGCAUCUCUUGUCACACUCUAGUUACGUUAGCAUCUGCACUUACCAAAGCCAAGCCUUAUUUACUUUAUAUCUGUCAACUGUCAGAGCUGCACGCAAUAAGGAGUAACAGUUUGAAUGCUGAGAAGAUUUUUGAAGCUUACUCAAAGUGUUUAUUUAGCAUGGCUGACACUUUAAGCAGAAGAAUUGAAAUAGAAUUUUAUAAAAAAAAAUGAGGAAAUGAUUUGUUUGUGAAAGGUAUGCAUACCAACUAGAAAUGCAAGUAUCAUCAGAAGACAUUUUGUCAGAGCUAAUCAUGGUGUUUGCCUUUUAUGUUGUUUUUCUGCCCUUUUUAAAAGUGAUCUUCUAAUAUUAUUUAGAUAAGGAUUAAGUUUUCAGACCUGCCACACGAUCCUUGGGUUCUGCCUUCCAUCAUCUGUGUGGCUGGUUGCCAGUUUCCUACAGGCUGGUUUCUGGUCUCUCAUAUUUGGCAUGGCUAUGGAAAGGGGACUAGACUCUAUUUGAGAAAAGCUGUAUUUCAGUUUUAAUUCUGGCCGUAAAUAGCUAUGUAACAGAGCGGUAUGCUGCACAUUAGUAAAAAUAUACACAAACACCAGCCUUGCAAAAUUCCUGAUUAUUUCAUUGAGUUACAUGUCUAUGAAAGAUCAGUAUAUAUUUAUUCUAUAAAGCUAGAUCUUAAAUAAUAUCGGUUGUUCUCAUGAUGAAGAUACACCUCACUGAAUAAUAAAGCUGCCUGGCCUCUGAUUCUGGGUGUAGGUAAGAGGCAAUAAGUUGUGGUGAGACCCAGGGGAAGCUUAGGAAUGCUCCCAUAACUGCUGAUGCCUGCUAUACCCUCCCGGAAUGUGGGGGCUGUCACAGUAUCUGUCAGAGCUCUAUGCUCACAUUGUAACUUGUGUGCCCUGAAAGCCCUUUACAUACCUUCUACACUGUUUCCACCCUACACAGCUCUGUCCCUUUGCACUCAGAUACCCACACCACACGUCCUCCCGGACUCUCCUCUCUGCUGGGAUGGCCUUGAGAGGUAGAGGCCUGAGGAUAUCACCGGGAACACGGUUGUUAUAUAUCUUGCGUGGUACCAGGACCUUCUCGGAGCAUCUUUUUUUAUUUUUCUAUAAUACAUGAAACCCAACAAGUGACUUCCUAGAGGAACCUUUAUAAAAAGGGCUAUUAUAAUAAUGGAAGUGGUAAUGAUGGCUAACAUUUGUGAAGUGCUAAUUCCAUCCCGCACUUACGGUUUCAAACCACUUACAGUAUUUGUCUCAUUUAAUCCUUUUUAUUUAUAAGUGAGGAAAAUGAUACAAAAAGUGGUGCGCGCAAGGUCACACGGUUCCUGAAAGAGGGCUUUUACCCAGUCAGUGCACAAGUAUAAUAGUUUGACAUGGUAACUGAAUUCUAUUAGGUGAAGUCUGAAGUCAACUUUCUUAAAUACUAAUAUGUUCUAAAGUGAAUGUUGCUAUAGCAGGGUAGUGGAGGACAGUGAAAAGAUCGAGGACAGGCCAACUGAGGAUGGAAUUCUGGUGACUCACCAAGCUCAAACCAACAAAGCUGGGAAUCUCCUUCUGUAGCAAUGGCAAUAUAACGGUCCUGCUGCAAUGCAGAGAUGACCCCGUGGGAUAACACAUAUAGUAGCCUGGUCUUCAGGAAAUGGCGACUGUUGUCAUGGUCUGAUUGUUUUCCCUACCUCCAGGACAAGUUCCUACUUGGUGGACACAGUAUCAUUGUGAAUUUGUAUGCAAUUCUCUUCAUGUUAACAAGAGUUCUGCAUUCAUAUAAAACAGUAAUGUCCUUUCCAACACACACUCAGGUUCCAUCUAGAAAACUGAAAAAAAAAAAAUGUCUGUUGGAGUCACAUAAUGGAAACCAUGCCUCUAAAUGCAGAUCAGGGCACAUAGAACUAGACAGUGGACGCUAACAGUCAUCUGCAACAGCUGGAUACAUGCAGGCUUUAACUACCUAUUCCUGGCUAAUGUGGGCCCAGAAUUAGGGUUCGAUGUUGUCAGAGCAUUUCCACUGCUGGGAGAGUAAACACCAUGACCAAAGUCAAUUUGGGGAGGAAAAGGUUUAUUUCACCUUGUAGUCUGUCAUCCAGAGAAGUCAAGGCAGGAACGUGGAGGCAAGAACUGAUGCAGAGGCCAUGGAGGAGUGCAGCUGACUGUCUUGCCCUUUGCAGCUUGCUCAGCUGGUUUUCUUAUGCUGCCCAAGACCACCACAAAGGGCUGGGCCCACUUGCAUCAAUCACUGAGUAAGGAAAUGCACUACAGAUUUGCCUACAGGCUAAUUUCAUGGAGGCGUUUUUCAGUUGAGGUUCCCUUUUCCCAAGUGUCUCUAGCUUGUAUCAAGUUGACAUAAAACUAGCUGGUACUGCUAUGGUUUAUCUAAUCAAUACAUCUACAGAAUUGGCAGGUAACUCACAGGACCCGAACGGCUCGUCACCUCUUACUGAAGCAAGUAAGUUCUACUGACCUUCACUCAAAUGUAAGCAGGGUAGCAUUUUUUUCAGAAAUAAUAAUAAUCUCAUUGAUCCACCUUUGGCUUGUCUUUACAUCUGAUCCCAUCAUUGUGUGACGUGUGCUAUUUGUUUGCAAAGUGUCCUUCUGAGGUUAGGUACUAUCUUGGGCCAUCAGGAACCCAAAAAAAUGUUUUUUGAAGCUAAACAGGACUUAAUCUUUUCUUUCUUUCAUGUAGGACUCAGCAUGGUCAAGUACUAGAAUACUUUAAAAGCAUUUGUCACAUAGUUAGGCUUUCUCCAUAUUUAGCAUAUCUUAAAUAAUAAACAUAUGGAAGGAAAUGUAUGGAAUAAUAGUCAAGACUGGGUUCGAUGUUGAAUAUUCUACUUUGUAACCAAGUAAACUUAAAAGAAACUUUUUAACCUCUUUGAGCCCAAAUUUCAUCAGAAAAACAAUGGUGCCUCUAGUAUUGUUGAGCACUUAAUGAAGUGGUGUGUGUGAAAGCCCUCUGAGUCCCUUGCAAAAACAAAUACAGGCUAGGAGGUGUUAUCUGCAGAGGCAUAGUGGGCACGAGCCUUGGAAUUGAACAAUCGGGAUUGUUAAAAAAAUACUGUGUGACUUUGAGCCAAUCAAGGGACUCCCUUGCCAUUAUUACAAGUGAAGUAGGGUCAGGAGAGGAAUAGGGUGUCACAUUUAUAAUUCAGACCCUGUACGACAAAAAGUCCCAUCCUGUUCUGUUCUUAUGGUAGACAAAAAGCCCACCAGGUGCAGACCCCAAAGUCAAAGGAGCCAUUGAGCUCUAUUUUGGAGGGGGGCAGGGGGAUGGGAGGGGGAAGGAGGGGUGUCUUAGAACAAAGGACAAGAUUUCUUUGAGAAUGCUAUCCUCUUGGUGGUAGAAAAUGACUAGACUGGGUCACUCCAGAAACAGCAGGAAAAGACCCACAUCCCUUACUCCCCCUUUACCUCUAUAAAAGCUUUUGCUUGCAAAGUUUGUUCUCCUUGUUUUAUUUCUGUAGACACUGAGAUCAGAGGACCUCGUAUCUGGUCUCACACUGCUGCUACUUCAGAACUCGGGCUAUACCUUUACUUAUUAAUUAGGUGUUUUUGUUUCAAGACAGAGUUCACUAUGGAACUCAGUAUGUAGGCUUGCCAGCCUGGAAUUUGGACACUCUGCCUCCCCAGCCCUGGGAGGUACCAGUCUGUUUGUUUUGCAUUGCUGAUAACUGAACCCAGAGCAUCCUGCAUGCUAGGCAAGCAUUCUGUCACUUACACAGCCAGCUCCAAACUAAAAGAAAACAAGGGAGGUCAGCAAAGCUCUGCAAGGACAAGUCCCUCCCUGGUAUUAGAAAAGCCCAUCAAUCUAGGGACUGUCACAUAUUCCGUUUGCACUAAGUCGCAGAGACAGUAUCAUGUUGUGAUGGCAUUUGGGCUUGUUUGAGUAGUGAUUGAGGACCACCUACUUGGCUUCCUUCUGUAUGGACAAAAGAAUAAAGAGAAUUCUUUGACUUUGUCCAUGGAGUCUGGGUGUUCUGCUCAGCAUCCCUGUCUCAGCAGAGCAAAGCAAAUGGUCCUUUCUGUUUCCUUGUUGCUCUUGAAAAAUGUGGAUACAUUUAAAGCUAUGAUGUGUACUGACGUAGGAACUUACUGAAGUUUGUAAAUGACUUUAUUUGUAUAAGGAAGGAAAUUCCUAUUUCAUGGCUGUCUUUCUCUAAUGCUUUCUUAAUUCUUAAUGAAAAGAUGGCCUUUCCCAUCUCACCUCUAAUUAAUGCUUUUAUCUGGAUACAUAGAUACUUGAUUUUCCCCCCAACUAAGGACCUCAGAAUUGUAAUUGUGGUUGUUUAUUUAGCACAGUCUUCUGUUGUAUAACAGACUGCUCUUCACCAGUAAUAGCCAAUUAGAAAAGAAAAUAUCUGAUCGUAAUUACCAUUAGAAAGCAAUUAAUAGCAGGAGCUGCUGUUGGGCUGCAGCAUCAAUUGGCUAUCUUUUCUAAAUCGCAUGUAACUAAUUUCCUCAAAGAAGAAAGAGAAUGAGAACGAAAGGAAGGUGAGAGCCUGGAGCUCCUUGGAAUUCCUCACAGACCAAUUUAUGAAUGGCUCUUGAAAGCUUUUCAAGUCUGCAGCCAUUGAUGAGAGGAAGUCUUGCUAAUAACUGACUGGGACACUCACUGAGUUAUUUUUCUAGCAGCAAUAGAAAAAUCCAUAGAAAAUAGGAAUUAGUGAAGACAAAGGCUGGGAGUCUUGAUCCCAUUCCUGCUUCUGACUGAUUUCAUAGCCAUUUGUACCCCUGGUCAAGGUUCCCUGGUUGUAAAUGAGAACACAAGCGUGUGUCAGGGUUCUUUCACGUAAAUCUUACAUAUAUCACUUUUUAAAAAGUCAUUGAGUUUACAUUUCCUGGGUUCUGCAAAAAGCACACAUCAGAGUGUUUCCUCAAGAAUAAAUUCCACAUUUGACGUUCAUUAAUCAGUUGUGUCAGGUUAGAAAAUUAGCUGAGAACCACUGCCAAGAGUUGACUUCUGAGUCCCUCACUCCAAGACAACAUAAAUUGAUCAUUAGAUCGCUUCUAAUCAGAUUUAGGCAGAGCCCAUCAUGGAUAUGAAUGAAUCAUCAACUACACAUUCAGGAAGGCUUGCCUGCUGUAAUAGGACAUUUCUCUGUAUAGAGCUGUGCUCAGGUCCAGAUACAAGGGGAAAUGGUGAUUUAUAGCCCAGAAGAUUGAGGGUGUUCAAGGUUGGGAGGUAGACAUUUCUGAGAGAAUGCAGCAAAAGUAAAGGGAAAUUCUUUGGUAAAGCUGACCAGGGUGAUUAGGUUCAUCUCAGGGCUGGUGGAAGGAUGGAGACUUUGAUCAGAUAUCAGGGUGAUAAGCUACUGAGAACGUAUGCAAAUUCACCUAACUGGAUUCCAGCUGAAAUUGAACAAUGCAGACUGGGAAGGACCAGGCUUCCAUAAGGAAAGGUUACAGAGGGACGAGAGGUCUUUGUUGGUAGCAAGAGCAUAUCAGCAGGUAAACAGGGCUUUAGGGACAGGAAUCGAGUUAUAGGCUUUAGAGAAGCAGAUUUAGGGGACCAUGGAUUCUGGGUGAAGUAUCAAGUCAGUUAAGUUCUAUAGAUCAGGUCAAUAGAUGAAGGAUCCAGUUACUAGAAAAAGAAUACAAGUUGAGAUUUGAUAUCAAGAAACUGGCUAUACGACAGUAGCUAGCGUUCCAGACCUCUGUAAAGAGGAGGCCAAGUAGACUGAGUUGACACAAAGCCACUGUUAUAAAACAUAGCCACAGUGAUGAUGGGACUUGCUCAUUAGUGAUUCUUGCAGGAACCUUAGCACCAGACAGGACAUCACAAAUGGUCAUGUGACCGGCUACUGAACUCCUAACUCUGAGUUCUUUAAUUCUGAGUGUAAGCAAAUUGUAAGAUAACCCUACAGCAUAAAGGGAUAGCACCCUUCUUUUUGAUGAUCCCUACAGUGUAAGGAAUUGUAUACUGUGGCCUUCCUAUUGCUAUUAUUUCUCUUGUGAAAUGUUUGUUAUUGACAGAACAGAUUAGAUUUAUGUUCAUAACUACCAGGUUCGUGAGCUAUUUUUUUGUACCAGCAAUUAUCAUUAUUCCCUUAAAGAGGGCACAGUCUCAUUUUCUGUUUGCUUUGUUGAAUUUUGCUUUUCCAAACUCAAUGUCUUUGCAUACUAGUUAGGCACUCUUGUCUCUGAGCUAAGUAUCCAGACCGAUUUUCCUCUCAGUACUAAGUCAGCAUACAACAGACAUGCAAGCUUACCUUGUUUCUUUCUUUCUUUGUUUUGGGGACACAGUUUCUCUACGUAGCUCUAGCUGGCCUGGAACUCACAACAUAGACCAGAAUGGCAUCAAGUACUUCCUAUGUGUCCUAAGUGCUGGGAUUAAAGACAUAUGCAACCGUGCCCAGCGAAGCUCACAUUUUCUGAGAACCUAGAUGAGCUAGAGAUGAACUAAACCCCUUAGAUAGUAGACUACACAGAAAGUCAGUUCUGUGCUGUCUUGUUCUUAAGAUGUUUUUAUAGAAAUUUACUUUUUAUUCAUUGGGUAAGUGAAUUAGCCAGAACCAACAUUAAAUUAAUAUGUUAUUUAUGCUUAUAGGGACAGUACUCUGAUUCCAUAGAAGACAAGAAGGAAUUAUUUUUUUUACAUAUACAGAAUUUCAUGAGUGAACAAUUUACAAAUAUAAGUUAUGUAGCUUUGCUCCAGAAUUUAUUCUAACUUUAUGGCUGUUCAGGAGGUAAAUAUUCUAUUUAGUUUUCCAAACAUUUAACUACCACUUUCCAUUUAUGAAUUAUACCUACUCAAGUUUUAUGUAUGCUAGUCUUCCAUGGAAUUUAAUAUAGGAAACUAGUCAGGGUCCUCUCCCCAUUAUUUAUUAAGAAUUUAGACAUUCCAAAAUGUUCUAAGAAGAGGCCUCCCUGUGCCUAUGAUAGGACCUCUGGGGUGGUCCCCUACACUGCAUCCUGGCUUUGUGCCUUUAAUCCAAAGUGUGAAGGCUGCUAAAUGCAUUUAUAUAAGAAAUGGCAUCUUUUUCUGUUGAAUGAUGUAGCCUUUUUUAGGAGUAUUUCUUCCAUUAUAUCUAGGAAGGUAAGAAAAAAUAUAUAGAAUAUAUAUGUAUAUGUUAUCUCUAAGAUAUAAUAAUUAAAAAUUAUAGGAAUAAAACUACCAUUUUAGCUCUAUGAGAAUACUUAAUCUUCCAGUUGGUGCCUUUUCUUUCACUCUUUCCUUUCUCCUUUGCUUUUAUAUCCACACUGCUUAGAGUGCGCUCUACCACUGUCCUAUACCUGCAUUCCAACGUAUUUAAUUUUAAUAUCACCUCUUGCUACAUUUACAUUAAGACUUAACUAUUGAACAUAGAACAGAAAAGUUUUUUCAGUAACCCAUGUUACUGAGUUUCUGACCCAUAGUUUGGAGAACUCAACCCUGUGCUUUAUUAUAUUGUCAGGUUACUAUGGUUAUUUAAUGCAUUAUUUAAGUUAAUAAAAAAUUUAACCCACAUUCUUCUAUCAGCUUUCAAUGACUUCAAGAAUGUGAGUCCAUUUUUAACCUAUUUGUGUGUGACAUCAGUGUCAGAAGUGUCUGUAGAACAUUGUCAUUUAUGAAUUAGAUGAUAAAUCCAGACUCUCUUUGAUGCUUGUAGAGGAAUUGUUUGGUGAAAGGUUGUUUAAAACAGCUUUGAUGUGAUUCAUAGUACCCGUUGUUAUUCACGUCUGGUUGGCAGUCAUGAGAUCCAACUGGCAACUCUCCAUUUCUUCAGGACUCACUCUCACUUUCAUUAAAUGUGGUCUCCUAGCAGACUGACUUAGGCAGCUUACAAAGCAAAGCAGGAUGGCUCCCUUUUGUCUUGUUGCUCUUCCUGAAAUUAGGUUUGCUGUAUAGUUUGUAGUAAUGCAUUAGAAAAUCAGCCUUGAAACACAUCGUUCUUAUGGUUAUCAAGAACAGUUAUAACUUUAUCUGUGUUAGUUAUCUGCAGGAGUUCAAAUACACUCCCAUUUGUGUGUGAGCUGAUUGGUAGCUUUGUGGCAACCUAAGUUGUAUUCCACAACUGCAUGCUUCACUUGCCUUUUCCUCUUUCUUUUAUUUCUUCAUGUGUGCAGAUGUUUCAUCUGCUUGUAUGUGUACACCACAUUCAUGCCUGGUGCCCUGGGACUAGUCACAGAAGUUUAUGAGCCUCUGUUUGGAUGCUGACAAUCAAUUCAGGGCUCUCUGGAAGAGAAGCCAUCCCUCCAGCCCCAAGUGUCUCAUUUUUGUUGUUGGUGGUGGUGGUUGCUUUGUUGUUGUUGUUUUGCUUUGUUUUUUGUUUUUUGUUUUUGUUUUUUUUUUUUUUUUUUUGAGACUGGGAUUUUCUGUGUAGCCCUGGCUGUCCUGGAACUCCCUUAGUAGACCAUGCUGGUCUAAACUCAAGAGAUCUGCCUGCCUUGCCUUAUGAGAGCUGGUGUUGAAGGUAUGUGCCACCACGGCCCUGCUGAAGUGUCACUUUUAAUGUGAAGUAUUUCCUGAAGUCACAGCUGAAGUCUUUUUUUGGAGGCUUCCCCAUAAACUAGUAGUUUUCUAGAAGAAUCUAUAACUACUUAUAGAGAAGUGGGUUUUAUUUGUUCUUCAUUUAGCUUGUCACUAUAUUUCCUAAGGUUUCUCUAAAUUCCCACAAACUGUGUGUCUUAUCACAUUGAAAUGUGCUCACUCACAGCUCUGAAGUCCAGAAGUCCAGAAUGAAGUCCCCAGUAUGGCCACUCUGUUUCUGAAGACUCCAAAGGAAAACUGUCCCUGCCUCUUGAAGUUGUGGGUGGCACUGCGUGUUCUUGGUGUGGCAGCACAACUUGAGUCACCUGUCUUAGACUCUGUGCUCCCUUCUGCUGUUCACACUUCUUCCCCCUUCCUGUCUCUAAUGAGGACAUCUGUCAUUACAUUGAGAGUUCGUCAUAAUCUACUAUGAUUGGAUCUCAAGACUUUUACCAUAAUUAUGAAUGCAAAGAACCUGUUUUAAAGUAAGAUCACAUCCUCAGGUGCUAGAUGGUACAUGCUUUGUGGGUCACCAAUCAGGCAGCAGCAUUUACUGAAUAUAUGCACACAGGUAGCAUCCUUUUUUUUUUUUUUUUUUUUUUAACUCUAUAGAAGUUGGUGCUUAGAGCUUGACUUAGUAGACUUGGAACGUUAAGUUCCAAUCCACUGCAUCCAUUAAUAUCAAGCCCUCAUUACCAAAUAUAUACAAUUGUUUCAUUGUGAAUUUGCCAUCAUUGCCAUUUUUACUCUACUUCCUGUUUAUUUUUCAAGGUAGUUUGAGUGUCUACAGCAUAAUCCCAAGUCCUUUUGCUUAUGGAGAAAUAGUUAUCAAUUUGUCCUUCUUGUAUACAGUCCCUGAAAUCUAGUCUCAGGAUGAGACUGAGAGCAGAAUGUGCCAAGAACCCUGAGUUUGUAGGCAGAAGAAUCAGGUUACUCACCCACAAGGAGAUCUUGGAUGAACAUCAGCUUCUGCGCAUUUGCUCUUUAAUAAGCAAAACAAAAGUAAUAAUAUUACUGCAAAGCGCUGAGAUGAUUGGGAAUACUUGGCUGAUAAUUUUUAAAGAUGUAAAGUUAUAUGAAUGAAAGUUACAUGAGUCACCGAACAUGUGUAAAUACCAAGCGGUGUGUAGCACUAGGGUGCAAACUGAAAGGCUGCCCCUGUAGACUUGGCCACAAGUUUGUCUCACUUGAGCAGUGUAACCAGCCUCUUCCUCCAUUAAACUGUCACUUGCCAUUUACUGAAAAUGUGUACAGAGUAAGUUUGCUUUGUUGUUGAUACAGAAAGAAAUCGCCUUGAGAAAUGUGCUAAGAGGACAAGACAUAGUCUGUGUCUUCUUUGAGGUUAUAAUUUAACAGGGAACGAGAUAUGCUUAGCAAGAAGUAGGCUAAGUGCUGAGUGACGAACGGGCCUUUGCUUGGAAAGGGUGAUCAGGGUGGCUUCCUGGGAGGCAAGAGACAGGUCGGAAAGAUGUAGCCCCUGUGAUGAGCACCGCAGCUGAACUAGGCUGACACCUUUCGUAAAAGCAAAGCAGAAGACCAAGAUGCUGGCCAGGGGCCUGUCACAGGUUACAGGAUAUUUGACCAUGCUGUGAACCCUGAGAUUGAUUUAUUUACCGAGAAAACACGCACCUUGAAUCCAAGACCUAAAUAAAGUCAACCUCAGUCAAGAGGCAGAGCGAGGAACCAGCUGAUAGGAAGUGACUAUAAACAGAAAGGAGUGAAGUUGAGUUUGAAGGGUAUUUAGGACAGCCCGGAGGAGAAGGAACUUAAUUCCUUCUGGGUCUUUAUCAGUAGAGUAGGAAGGUCAGCUGGAUACGUUUUCUGCCUCUCAAAGCUAGCUGGUUUUCACCACAGCAUCUGGAUCCUGAGUCUUCAUUGGCUGGGAUUUUUAAAACAAGUCAGUGUCUCCUAAAAGUUGCAGCCCCAGAAGAGAAGCAACAGAUCACAGCGUCUGAUAACUAACUUCUGAGUUAUCUAACAUUCUGAACCCCUCUGUUGUGACUGGAUGUUUCACAGACUUGGCUCCACUAGGAUUGAUCUCCACUAGGCUGAGCAGUCACCAAACCAGUUAGUAAAUCUUCCCAGUUGAAAGACCACGCUGGCAAUUCUCCCUAGAAAGAGAAGACUCACAUUCUUGAUAUUCAGGGUUUGGAUCUCAGCAAGUGUUUACUAAGCACUAAUUAAUUAUGCAUGCGCCAAAAAGAACAAGGACCCAAUGCCUGUCUUGAAGGAACCCUGUCUUGAACGAACCAUUUAGUUUCUAGAAUAGGGGAGCCAUGCGGAAGAUCACAGGGUCACGGGAAGUGAGAACCAAGCAGAAGGGCACAGGAAGUAAGGGGUCUCCAGCUUCUAUGUGAGGCUCAGAGACAGACAGUGGUUUUUGGACAGGACUCUGUCAGAUGACCAAGAGCAAGUAGGCCUUUCCUCUAGAGAAGUCUCUGUCAGGGGUAGGGACCCCUCUGCCAGCAUUUUCUCAAAGCCUGAAUAAAUAACAGGGCUGAGAAGGCAGUAAGGACUUCAUUGAAAAGACCUGUGCGCCAUGCAGAGCAAAGUGGGUUUUCCCUGCGUGCUGAGGAGGAGCAGUGGCGCAGCACAGGGCAUGAGGACUCUAGUUAACAAAUCUGUUGUUUCUGAAGUUUAAUCUGAUGUUCAGGUGAAGAGUUCUCCCUAAAGUGUGUGAGCUUUCUAACCCUGAAGCAGCCAGUGCCCCAUACCCCGUGCCCUGUGACCCACCCCCGCUGGUGGAACCUUUGGCUACUUCCCUGCCACGGAGAUAUAGCUGAGGCUUCUCUGUUUAUUCUGUUUAUUCCUUCCUAGGCAGCAGUGAGUUCCACAUUCGAGGGGUCAUCUCAGGGCUAAGAUCACAGUUAAGUCUCAGUGUAAAUGUUCAUUUCACUUACUAAUGUUGAAAUCUGUUCUUCGAAUUUUCUUUAUUUCCCAGAUAAAGUAGCUUUUAGAGCCAUGCUUUUCUUAUCUGUAAGGAACUCAUAGCAGUCACUGCCUCUGCGAUUAAGAUCCCCACGGGUCUCUCGGUGUCCUCUGCUUUGUUUUGACCCACAGCAAGUUUUUCAGAGUGUUCCAACUGUAAGAAGUCUCACACAAGACCUUGUGUCCUUUGGGGUUUGCAAUAAGGAAACAUGUGUGUCUUGAUGCAUAUGUUAAUUCUUCAAAAAACCUUUGAAAAGUUGUAGUAAAGUUUAGCAUGCUAUGUGAGGGGGCAGUGUUUGUCAUUACUCUCUCCAUUAUUAAAAUGUCCACACAAAGCUGCAGCUCUGCUUCUUGCCAGAGGAUUGGCAAGGCCGAGCCACCCUUACCCAAAUUCCAGAGAUACCCAGGCUCCUCCUGAGUGCUUCUGCUUAAGGCUGGGCUGCAUGUGCUGUGAGUUAUCGCUGACAGCUCAGAUGAAUACCAUAUGGUCCUGAUGCUAGAUUGCAACUUUACAGAUUUUUUUUCUAUAUUCCUGUUCUGGCUUUUCCCCCAUUUUGGUAAUGCAUUUGAAUAGGUCACCUCAUGGCCUGCAAAUAUUUUCUUCAGCAUGGUGUCGUCUUUAGUUUCAGAAGCAAGGAAGUGAUCUAUCCCCUCAUCCCCCCACCCUCAUCUUAAAUGCUGCAAUCAAGACAACCAUGAAACAUUCCUAAUUCAAAGAACUUCUCAAUCAACUUUUGUGCAAUUUAGCCAUACUUCCUAGUGUAUCUAUUUACCUCAAAUGGGUCAUUUUGAGGGGUUAAAAAAAAUGUGUAGCUUCCAGUUUAUUAUACAAGAAAUUGUUGCCAGGCAAAGGUGGCAGCACUCCUUUAAUCCUAGACCAAGAAAACGAACACAUCUCUGAGUUCAAGGCCACCCUGAUCCAGUGGAGUUCUGGACAUCCAGGAAAAACCCUGUAUUAACCAAAAGAGGAGGAGGAAGAGGAGGAGGUGGUGGUGGCAGGCAGGCAGGCAGAAAGAUAGGAAGGAAGGAAGGAAGGAAGGAAGGAAGGAAGGAAGGAAGGAAGGAAGGAAUUGUUGUACAUUUAAAGUUGUCUGCUUUCUCUAGUUAGUUCCCUUAGUGAAAAUAGCAGGAGUAUUUAGGAUCUGUCGCCAAAUAUUAAUUAAUUAACUAAUUUGUUAAUAACCACCACCCCCUUUGCUGAGAGUUAUUCUAAAGCCUUUGUGUGAUAUUUUAAAAGACCAAGCAGAUGACUUGAGACCCACACGAGACCCAGGGAAUUAAAUAGCUAGGCGUAAGUAUAAUCUGGAUCAAAGUUUCAGGGGGAAACAAAGGAACUGAUGUAUCCAUCAGAAACAAAGGGUAGCAAAAUACAACGUGACGGAUCUGGAGAGUAAAACCGAGUGCCCUGCCUGGAAUCACGCUAAGGGUAAUUCUUCAGGCAGGAAGACCGACUUCUCCAGCAUCUCCUCAGUAAAGCUGCCUGCUCUAAAUCAAGGGAACACUUGGCUGGAUAGCUAGCAGUAACAUAGGCACUGAAACGAUGGGCAAGGGCUCUCAGGAUCACUCUGAGCCACAAAGCUGGGUUGUCUUUAAUGGAAGAUUUGUUGUUAGAGCAGUGGGGUGACAAAUGUUGGCCACAGAGGCCGAGUCAAGAAUGUACUCCUGCAGCUCUCCUGCAUGGCUCUGGCAGGCAUCUACACUGAUGGUCGUUAGUGUCCUGUCUCCUGUUCUUCAGUGAUGUCUGUUGAUUCUGAGCCCAAGGUUACCUGAGUGUCCACUCCUAUUAUGUCAGCACAUUUUCAUAAAAUGUGUCAUAUGUCCAGUCCACCGGCCCACAUCCAUAUUGUCUCUUCCUUGUAUCUUUUCUUUGCCCGUUUCUCUCUUAAACUCCUACGUUCCUUAUGGCUUGGUUAAGAUUUCACCUUCACCUUUUCUAGAAAGUGUUCUGCAUCACUUCUUGUUUCACCCUAAGAGUAACCCAUCGAUCCAUUCUCUUCCUUUCUCGAUCAGUUUCUGAGUUCACUUUCCAUGCGAGAGUUCAGACUGUAAUACUCUUCACUCUUUUACAUUGUGCUCAGAUGGCCUGUAGGUGAUGUGAGUUCCUCUUGACUUGGUACCCAGCCCUGGGAUAGGAUUAGACACCUAUCUGCUGUAUGUUCAGGGCUGAACCAUCUUCUCCUUGUCUUUAGUGUGCUCUGUGCUGUGCAUAUGGUUGGUGUUUGUACUUGUCAGUGUGGGUGGACACAUGUGUAUACAGAUACAUGUGCAUCUGGAUGAAGUACACAUAGAGACCAGAGAUCAAUACUGGAAUCUUCCUUACUCACUCUGCACCUUUAUUUAUUUAUUUAUUUUAUUUUAUUUUAUUUUAUUUUAUUUUAUUUUAUUUUGAGACAGGAUCUCUCACUGAAUCUGAAGUUCAUCCAUUUGUCUAGGCUGGCCAGCCAAUGAGAUUCAGGGUUCUCCUGUCUCCAACCAAAUCCACUAUGGACUGGCAGUGCUGGCUGGCAUUAUACCACCGUGCCCCAUUGUAUGUGUGUGCCUGGGAAUCUAACUCAAAUGCUUAUGCUUAUGUGGCAGGCAGUUUACUGACUGAGCAUCUCUCAAGUGCCACAGAUAUACUCAUAAAGACCUUCCCCCAGCCCUCCGUGUCACACCCUUGCAGAGGGAGAGCUUAAGAAGCACUGGCCUGAGUUCUGUGGGCUUGACUGCCCGUAGGACAUGAGCCGUUUAGCAGCAGCCGCGGAGGUCACGGGAGUUUGUUCAGUGGCAGUGUCAGGGCAAGUACCAGCCUUCCUCAGUGGCAGAGCCGAGCCAGCACGGGCAUCAGUAUAGCAGCAGACAUGUCAUUGCUUCUGAAAUUGACAGCUGAUGACUCUGUUGUGACAUUGUCAUGCGUGUAGUAUUCUGAGGUGUUAUCUCUAAAUAUUAAACCACAGUUUCCACUUGUCGUAUUUGAAAAACCAAUGUUACUUUUUUUACAGUUGUAUUUCCUUUGUAAAACUGUCAGAGUUCUCAUAUAAAACGGUGAAUAUAAUUUCGACUGCUUAUGUGACUGUGUCUUUCUGUCUUUCUGACUAGACUAAUUGCUCUUUUGCCUUUUUAAUUAUUUAGGUAUUUUUUAACUUCUGGAGCACAAGGUUUUCUGUUGUUCAGAAUCACCUGCUGCUAGUUUAAACUACUUAAUCUCUCUGGUUCACAGGUUGCAGGGUGACACUUUAUUUGGAUUGGAUUGGAUUGGAUUGGAUUGGAUUACAGUUUGAAAGGGUCCAGCCAGCCAUGGCUAACAAGCCUGCAGAGGGUAAGAUAUGUCUCUUACUGUAAAUAGAAUUUCUAGUCUUACUUGUGAAAUUACGGUUGGGAACGGAGAAGAGCCACACUUGUCUCACAUGUGGGCCUCUGGCAGGAGUCAUGCUACCUGACUUUCUUAUUUGACAUUUUUUUCUCUGUAGGAAGAAUCAUGGCAAUAUUCAUAGCAAAUGUGAGUUGCACUCAAAAUCUCAACCCCAUUUUUUAUAUAUGAUCUGUAUUCAAAUAGUAGAUCACUGUUCACGUAUAAUUUUCUAUAUGAUUUAUAUAUUUUCUUACUUGUAUGUAGCUAUACCUAAUUUCUGGUUUUAGUGUUGUGAAUAGAAUAGAAGCAUCAUUCAUACAUUGAACAUUUGUGUUUUCAUUGCAGGUACUAAGUCAUUCAUAGAUUACAUUAUGACAUCUAUACAUGUCUGUCUUGUACUUUGAUAGCAUCUACACUCCUGUCUCUUGUUCUCCUCCUUUCCCUCAGUACUUGGUUCCCUUCAUCUUCCCAAUAGUCACUCUGGUAUUUGUGAAGCAUUUAUUUGUUGUUUCCAUGGAUAUAAGAAAGUAUAUGAUGCUCUAUCUUUCUGGAUGUAGGUUGUUUUACAUAAUGUGAUGAUCUGUGUCUACAUGUUUUUCUGAAAAUGACAAGAUUCCACAUUUUCUUUACCCAGGCUCUGUUGGUGUGUUGGCUGAUCCCAUGUCCUGAUGCUUGCACAUAUUAUGCCUCUCAGUGUGCAUGUGAAGUCUCCUCUUAUGUAAAGGAGUAGUGUGCUCCGUGCGCACUAGUAAAGUGCAUCCCCACUGACUGUGUUGGGGUUUCUCUUUCCUCACAAUUUUGCUAACAUUUGUUUAGAUUGGGAAGCGGGGGGUAUAAUUUUUUUCUAAUUGCCAUUAUGACUGGAAUGAAGUGGAAUUUCAGUAAUUUUGUUUGGAGUUCCCUGCUAACUAAGGAUAACAAUCAUCUUUUUCUGUGUUUAUUGGCCAUUUGCACUGCUUCUGAGAAGUGCCUUUGAUGAUCAUUUGUGCUUUUAUUGAUUGAUGCUCUCAUCAGGUACAGCGGUGAAAAACUCAAACAGAAACCAGGCAUCAGAGAAGUUGGCUCAUUGCUGUGAGACUUCACCAUGUGAUUCAGAAGCAGCCUAAGACAUCCUGGAUGCUAUAAGCAGAUCUUAAUAGAUGAUUCCAUUAGGAACCAACAAGACUAGUACCAAUAGAGUAAUGUUCUCUUGUGAUUUCAGAUGCUAAUGAGGGAUUUAUCAGGAGCAGAAACCACGAGGGUUAUAUUCUGGCAAAGCAUUGUUAAUCCCACCAGGCAAGAACGAGACCCACUACCACAAGUUCUGAGCCAAAUUUGAAAUAUGGUUUAUUAAGUCCAUGAUCUUGGCCAGGUCCAUACCUGAGAUUCCCAUUACUCAGGAGCUUAUAAAGGCAAAACCUAUAAGGAAGGCUCUAUACUUCCCACUCUCAUCCAAUCAGGGGAAAGCAUACAUCCUGUUGUAAUUUCUGCCUACAUACCUCCUGCCUCUAUGUGAUCAAACACAUCCUGUGCACUUGGGGCAACCAAGCUUCUUUAUAGAAGCUAAAAUGUGUGCCUUGUUAUCUUAUAUGAACAAUAGCCCAAAGAAUUCCAAGAAAUUAUCUGUCCUUGGGCAAGUAGAGCUUACAGAUUAGGUGCAUUUUUGUUUAUAAAUCUCUUAAACACGGUAGUUUAAACUUAAAACAUUAGCAUCACAGCACUUGUCUGCAUUUUGUCCCUGUUAUGACACUUUUGGGAGAAUAAAGUUAGAGGAAACAGGUGGAGGAAAUUCAAAGGCAGCUAGCAUUCUGCCUGUAGCAUGGUUUUUGCUAGCUUCUUUUAUUCACAUAUACAGUGAAAAUUGUGAGCAAAAACCAGAACAAAAUGAAAAAUAUAUAGUUCGGUCAGAAAACAUUAUAUAAAUUUAAACUUAAGGCUUGCAUGUUUUCUGAACAUACUGCCAUUAAAAGGAAACAAAGUACUUUGAAUCAUAUAAUAUAAAAAUUUUAUUAAGGACAUCUCAAGUAUUAUUAGUAAGACACACCCAUCACAGGCUCAAGUGUUUUUGUUAUUAAUGGCUAUGUGAUUUUUUUGCUAUGUGAGUUUUUUUUUCUCAGAAAGCUCUAUCCCUAACCCUCCUACUCCUUUUCUUUUGUACUGUUUUUUUUCCGUGUGUGUGUGUGUGUGUGUGUGUGUGUGCACUUCAUUGAUUUUGUGUAUGCUGUUAUAUUUUAAGAAUAAGGAUAAUAUGAACAGUAAUUCUAGGACAGUAUUUUUUAUUCUGGUGUGUUUCCCUGCCAUGCUGUUUUAUUGAUAUUUACUUGGAUCUCUGCUGUCCCUGAAAUUUAUUUUGGAGUGUAUGCUAAUAUCAAUAAGGAACCUGUUUCUAUUUUUAAAUAUCUUCCACAUUUUUCUUACCAUUAACUACUGAUAAAUACUCUUUCUUUAUUGCUAACAAAAGACUACUUUUGUCUCCUUAUCACAUAAAAAUUUUCAGUAUACCAUAAAUUUUCUUUCAUGUAUUGUGGAAACAUCUUCCACGAAUGAAGGAAGCUGUGUGCAGAGAUUUCUGAGGACUCAUGAGAAACUCUAAGUAAACGUGUAACUUCUAUUUCUCCACAACAUGGGUUGUUCUAGGAAUGCGCUUGCAGGUCCCUCCCAGGUGUCGGAAAUGAGAGUGGGUUUGCUUCAGAUUACCCAUUGCUGCUUACUUCUGUUAUUCAAAACUGCUUCCAUGCCCUUGUGACUGUAUACAGCCUAGACUCAUAUGAUCUUGCCUAACCCUCAGAAAAGAAAUUGUCUGAUGCUCUGAGUAAAGUUGCCUAUUGAUGAGACUUAAGCCCAUUUCAUUUCUAGGCCUGCUUUCCCAAGUUUACACCACCAAACAGAGAAUAAAGCACGCAAAAAAAAAAAAAAAAAAAAAAAAAAA